AUGAGGCGGAGCUGCGGUCGAAGCUCGAAUCUGAGCGGGCGGAGCGCGAGCUAUCGCGCGAGCGGGAGGAUUGGGAGGCGGGGCCGGAGCGCUCCGUGGCCAGAUCUGGGACGGCGCUCCCUGGAUCUGGUGGUGCGUCGGGGUCGGGGCUGGAUCUGUGGGAGGCCGCUGCUGCUUCGGCGGGUGGUGGCUCCUCUUCGUCGGCGCCGCGCCCCGCUCCGGCUAGGGGUCCGGUCCCUCCGCCUCGGCCACCCCCUCGCUCGUUUGUGGCUGGUGCUGCCUCUCACUCGGGGCCACGCUUCGGGCCUGGCUCUUCCUCUUCAUAGGCUGGGGAUCGGCGUCCUCCUCCUUCUGCUUCGGGUGCCUCUUCUGUGGUCCGUGGUGAUGGCAUCCUGCCGCCGCCUCCGCCUCCCCCUCCCCGCCAGCAUCCUGUUCCCUCGGGACCUUCUCCGACCCUGA
RNAcentral lists this ribosomal RNA (459 nucleotides) under Triticum aestivum (bread wheat). RNAcentral describes it as "partial small subunit ribosomal RNA". Lineage: Eukaryota; Viridiplantae; Streptophyta; Magnoliopsida; Poales; Poaceae. The record is from RNAcentral.